Ribosomal RNA from Lampris incognitus (smalleye Pacific opah), 147 nucleotides. RefSeq annotates it as 5.8S ribosomal RNA. The record is from RefSeq and is a predicted model, not a curated record. The transcript has a single exon. NCBI's taxonomy places the organism in Eukaryota, Metazoa, Chordata, Actinopteri, Lampriformes, Lampridae.
AACUCUUAGCGGUGGAUCGCUCGGCUCGUCCGUUGAUGAAGAACGCAGCCAGCUGCGAGAACUAAUGUGAAUUGCAGGACACAUUAAUCAUCGACACUUCGAACGCACUUUGCAGCCCCGGUAGAGGCCACUCCUGUCUGAGCGUCG